GACGAACGCUGGCGGCGUGCUUAACACAUGCAAGUCGAACGGAAAGGCCCUGCUUUUGUGGGGUGCUCGAGUGGCGAACGGGUGAGUAACACGUGAGUAACCUGCCCUUGACUUUGUGAGAACUUUUGGAAACUGCGGCUAAUACCGGAUAGGAGCUCCUGCUGCAUGGUGUGCGUUGGAAAGUUUCGGCGGUUGGGGAUGGACUCGCGGCUUAUCAGCUUGUUAGUGGGGUAGUGGCUUACCAAGGCUUUGACGGGUAGGCGGCCUGAGAGGGUGAACGGAGACAUUGGGACUGAGAUACGGCCCAGACUCCUACGGGCGGCAGCAGUGGAGAAUAUUGCACAGUGGGGGGAAGCGUGAUGCAGCAACGCCGCGAGCGGGAUGACGGCCUUCGGGGUAUAAACCGCUGUCGCCUGUGACGAAGCGUGAGUGACGGUAAUGGGUAAGAAAGCACCGGCUAACUACGUG
Molecule: ribosomal RNA, 468 nt
Filed under: uncultured bacterium
Lineage: Bacteria
Description: partial 16S ribosomal RNA
Rfam family: Bacterial small subunit ribosomal RNA
Source: RNAcentral